This is a long non-coding RNA of Acinonyx jubatus (cheetah), 1547 nucleotides long. RefSeq lists it as uncharacterized. The record is from RefSeq and is a predicted model, not a curated record. The transcript is spliced from 3 exons. NCBI's taxonomy places the organism in Eukaryota, Metazoa, Chordata, Mammalia, Carnivora, Felidae.
CUCUUUCAUGCCCCAGUGACAUUUCCUGAUUAUAUUCACAGGGCACAAGUGAUUUUGAACUCACAGUACAUUUGGGAAGUAAACCUAAUGGGCAUGCAAACAGCCAAUUGCAGUGUCAGGAAAACUAACUCAGUACAUUUCCAAUCUUUAAAACUCAAGUUUUCUCAACUAUGGAUUGGCACAGAAGUAGCAGGAUUUGAGUUUUAUGGGACUUGGAUGAAAAGUUUGUAUUACUGCAAAAUGGAAAGAAAUAUUUUUCUUAGGUUACCUAGAUAUUUUAUUUGAAGCCAGAUUAUUCCCAGUUCUAAAGCUGUGUUAUAAAUCCAGAUUAUGGCCAUGAGGUACGUGCCAUGGUGGGAGUGGGGUGUGAGAAUUUAAUUGUAAUAAGUUCUCCUUGACAAUACAUUGAUGUCUUAAGCCAUCAGCAUUAGCUGACCAGCUGAACAAGUUUGGAUAGGCCUGCUAGUCAAUCUGAAAUGCAAAUACUGCCGCAGUCUUCUUUUCUAUGAAUUCAUUUUAGUUGGGAAGAAGCAUUGCUAGAAGCUGGAAGCUCUCCUUCUUAUUUGUAAUGUAUGCAAAUACUUUAAAAAUCAUUCCUCAGUUCAGAAGGCAGCAGAUGAAAACCAUCCCUAUGAUUUCUUAUCUAGUCCUAGGCAUGAAACAAUGGGAAUUGUUUCCCUCCUCAUUCUAUGUUCCUUUUUGGAAUUCCAUCACUCACCUCAACAGGAUUCCUUGGGACAAGAAAAUGAUGCCCACAGCAUGCAGGGAAAUCAUGGUAGCUGCACUGAGGGGAAGAAAAACAGAGCCCAGCCAGAGGAGUUUGGAAGAAGAUGCAAUUGCUGUGGAUUGAAGCACUGAGGAAAGUUUUCUUUGAGAGGAGGUAAAAUAGAAUCUAGGCCUGGAGGAGAAACCAAGAUGGUGGAACAGCAUGGAAGUUUUUUGUGUGUCUCGCAUCCAUGAAAUACAGCCAGACUGACGCUAAAGCCAGACCAUCUUACACACCUAGAAAACUGAUUGGAAGAUUAACACAACAAUCUGCACAACCUGAACCACAGAAUUCAUCAGGUACGUGAUACGGAGAGGUGAAUUUGGGGAGUGAGAAGCUGCAGAGGGUAGGGAGCUGCUUUUGCAGGCAGAGAGAGGACAAAGACUGGGGGGAGGAGAAUAUGGGAAAAGCACCCCUCCCCAAAAGCAGCUGGAGAGAAAGUGGAAAAUUGGAAACAGCCACAGGGACUAAACUAAAAAGGGAUAAAGCAGAAACAAGAGGGUUUAAAUUCCAUUAAAACUGUAAACAAGGGGAGUGCAAAGUCUGCAACUCCUCAGCUCGAUACCUGGAGGUGCUCUGGUGGGAAGGGUGAAUCCCCAGGAACAGAGUGCGGUCCAGGAGGUCCUUGGGCCACAGGGGGAAAAGCGGUUCCACUGCUGGAAGGACAUUUGGUAGAGACUGUUGAAGACACCUGGUCCCAGCAGACCCCCCCAAAAUGGCCACAUUCGCUGGUUCUGUAACAAGGUAAUUAAGGAUCAUUAAACCUGGUGCCAGAUGUGUG